UAGGCCUUGCUUUAAGUUUUCAAAAAACAUUUCCUCUCUGGCUGUAAUCUUUCCUCUUUCAAUACUCUCAUUCUUUCUUUUUUCUUCUGCAGUUGUAAGAGUCGAGGGUGUAUUACUAAAUUUCAUUGACAUAUAGUCCUCUACUUCAGAUUCUGAAGACUCCAUCAUUAAUAGCUUUCAUAUACUCCUUUUUUCUUAUUUCAAACGUAAUAUCAAGGGAAAUUUUUCCUCAAUAAUCGAAUUCUUCGUAACAUGGUAGUUCAGUUGUAGGUAAGAGACGAAUAAUGCCUGCAUCGUAUACUGCCAACCAACAGAAAAUUCACUUGGUCAAUAAGUUUGGAAAGUCUUUUUCUAGUUAAGUGCAUUCCUUUUUUUUGCAGCUCCAUCUUUUGUGUAUAACAAUCGAGUAGCUUUAUAAUGAUUUAGAUUUUAAUACGGAAAGAUCAAUUUCGCUCGCGAUAGGUAUGUAGGGAUUGCUUAAAUUUAUAUGCUUUAAGAAACAAAUAAUUGUAGUAAUAUUACUGAGAGGAUGAUGCUAACGUGAAUACACCAAACACA
Molecule: non-coding RNA, 558 nt
Organism: Schizosaccharomyces pombe (fission yeast)
Lineage: Eukaryota; Fungi; Ascomycota; Schizosaccharomycetes; Schizosaccharomycetales; Schizosaccharomycetaceae
Source: the annotation of a GenBank genome assembly